This 570-nucleotide ribosomal RNA is filed under the name Priapulus environmental sample. Its description in RNAcentral is "SSU rRNA". It matches the Rfam family "Eukaryotic small subunit ribosomal RNA", at positions 590 to 1162 of the family's 1831-position model. The record is from RNAcentral. Lineage: Eukaryota; Metazoa; Priapulida; Priapulimorpha; Priapulimorphida; Priapulidae.
UUCAAUAGCGUAUAUUAAAGUUGUUGCAGUUAAAAAGCUCGUAGUUGGAUCUGGGGCUUAGGCUGGUGGUCCAUCUAGCGAUGGUUACUGCCUGUCCUGGCCUUUACCUCCCGGUCUAUCUUUGUUGCUCUUGACUGAGUGACUCGGGUUGCCGGAACGUUUACUUUGAAAAAAUUAGAGUGUUCAAAGCAGGCUUUUUGCCUGAAUAAUGGUGCAUGGAAUAAUGGAAUAGGACCUCGGUUCUAUUUUGUUGGUUUUCGGAACAUGAGGAAAUGAUUAAGAGGAACAGACGGGGGCAUUCGUACUGCUGCGUUAGAGGUGAAAUUCUUGGAUCGUAGCAAGACGAACAACAGCGAAAGCAUUUGCCAAGAAUGUUUUCAUUAAUCAAGAACGAAAGUCAGAGGUUCGAAGGUGAUCAGAUACCGCCCUAGUUCUGACCAUAAACGAUGCCAACUAGCGAUCCGCCGGAGUUACUACAAUGACUUGGCGGGCAGCUACCGGGAAACCAAAGUCUUUGGGUUCCGGGGGAAGUAUGGUUGCAAAGCUGAAACUUAAAGGAAUUGACGGAAG